AAUGAACGCUGGCGGCAGGCCUAACACAUGCAAGUCGAACGGGCCCUUCGGGGCUAGUGGCGGACGGGUGAGUAACGCGUGGGAACAUACCCUUUGGUACGGAAUAGCCUCGGGAAACUGAGAGUAAUACCGUAUGUGCUCGAAAGAGGAAAGAUUUAUCGCCAAAGGAUUGGCCCGCGUUGGAUUAGGUAGUUGGUGGGGUAAUGGCCUACCAAGCCGACGAUCCAUAGCUGGUUUGAGAGGAUGAUCAGCCACACUGGGACUGAGACACGGCCCAGACUCCUACGGGAGGCAGCAGUGGGGAAUCUUAGACAAUGGGGGCAACCCUGAUCUAGCCAUGCCGCGUGAGUGAUGAAGGCCUUAGGGUUGUAAAAGCUCUUUCAGUGGGGAAGAUAAUGACGGUACCCACAGAAGAAGCCCCCGGCUAAACUCCGUGCCAGCAGCCGCGGU
RNAcentral lists this ribosomal RNA (450 nucleotides) under uncultured bacterium. Its description in RNAcentral is "bacterial SSU rRNA". It matches the Rfam family "Bacterial small subunit ribosomal RNA", at positions 29 to 521 of the family's 1533-position model. The record is from RNAcentral.